UGACCGCUGGCGGCGUGCCUAAUACAUGCACGUCGAGCGCCCAGACGCGGAGCUUGCUCCUCUGACGUUAGCGGCGGACGGGUGAGUAACACGUGGAUAACCUACCUAUAAGACUGGGAUAACUUCGGGAAACCGGAGUUAAUACCGGAUAAUAUAUUGAACCGCAUGGUUCAAUAGUGAAAGACGGUUUUGCUGUCACUUAUAGAUGGAUCCGCGCCGCAUUAGCUAGUUGGUAAGGUAACGGCUUACCAAGGCAACGAUGCGUAGCCGACCUGAGAGGGUGAUCGGCCACACUGGAACUGAGACACGGUCCAGACUCCUACGGGAGGCAGCAGUAGGGAAUCUUCCGCAAUGGGCGAAAGCCUGACGGAGCAACGCCGCGUGAGUGAUGAAGGUCUUCGGAUCGUAAAACUCUGUUAUUAGGGAAGAACAAAUGUGUAAGUAACUAUGCACGUCUUGACGGUACCUAAUCAGAAAGCCACGGCUAACUACGUG
This 495-nucleotide ribosomal RNA is filed under the name uncultured bacterium. RNAcentral describes it as "partial 16S ribosomal RNA". It matches the Rfam family "Bacterial small subunit ribosomal RNA", at positions 30 to 507 of the family's 1533-position model. The record is from RNAcentral.